GUGAGGAAUAUUGGUCAAUGGGCGGGAGCCUGAACCAGCCAAGUCGCGUGAAGGAAGAAGGAUCUAUGGUUCGUAAACUUCUUUUGCAGGGGAAUAAAGUGCGGGACGUGUCCUGUUUUGUAUGUACCCUGAGAAUAAGGAUCGGCUAACUCCGUGCCAGCAGCCGCGGUAAUACGGAGGAUCCGAGCGUUAUCCGGAUUUAUUGGGUUUAAAGGGUGCGUAGGUGGGUUGAUAAGUCAGCGGUGAAAGUUUGCAGCUUAACUGUAAAAAUGCCGUUGAAACUGUCGGACUUGAGUGUAAAUGAGGUAGGCGGAAUGUGUGCUGUAGCGGUGAAAUGCAUAGAUAUCACGCAGAACUCCGAUUGCGAAGGCAGCUUACUACGCUACAACUGACACUGAAGCACGAAAGCGUGGGGAUCAAACAGGAUUAGAUACCCGAGUAGUCC
Molecule: ribosomal RNA, 445 nt
Filed under: uncultured bacterium
Lineage: Bacteria
Description: partial 16S ribosomal RNA
Rfam family: Bacterial small subunit ribosomal RNA
Source: RNAcentral